Long non-coding RNA from Anas platyrhynchos (mallard), 2901 nucleotides. RefSeq lists it as uncharacterized. The record is from RefSeq and is a predicted model, not a curated record. NCBI's taxonomy places the organism in Eukaryota, Metazoa, Chordata, Aves, Anseriformes, Anatidae.
UUACAUAUGGUAUCAUGCAGCCUGAUUUUAGCUAAGCAUGCUGAAACACUCACUGUGCCUGUUGUAGUCCAAAUCUGCUUCACAACAACACCAGAAGACAAAUAAACAUAUCAGCAAAGAAGAAAGAACAGCAAACAGAGAGAGAAAAAAAAAAAGGAAUCAGAAGAAGUAAGACAAGGCAGCAUAUUCCCAUGAAAAAAGUAGGUAUGACUUUCACAGUGUACGGAGGAUGAAAAUAUUAGAGGAAGACGAAUAUUCCCAGAGGUGCCGUGCAUUUGUGCAGCUAGUGGAGACUUUCAAGAGGAAAGGAAGACAGGGAUAUUUUUAUCACACCAGUGCUUCCUGCAGGUUCUUGGCUGCACCAGCACUUGCCUUCUUGCUUCUUAGACUUGGGUCUAUGCAGGAUCCACGUUGUGGAUGGGGUAUUUAGGCAUUGUUCAUUGGAUUAUUCAGAAUUUGAAAAACGAGUUCAUUGCUAUUAAAGGAAAGAGAACAGAGUGUCAGAAGCACUGCUUAUGUACAGCAAAGUCAAAAAUACCAAAGGUAUUCGUUUCAAAUUGGGAUUCUCGUUUGAGUUUACCAUUUUCUUGUAUUUCCGGCAGAGGGCAGGUUUGUGUCAUGAAACCUGUUUUCUUGUUUUAUCAGAAUCCAACGUGAAGUUCACCAGUCACAUUCAAGCCUAGUUAGGAAAAAAAAGUCUUAUUCUGUGGUAGUAUCCCUUGAAAAUUUUAUCUCAUAUAUAUAUAUGUAAAAGAAAAAUAAUAAUAAUUAAAAAAGUAGGACUUCUUCUAGUAACCUUGAAGCUUGCUAAAAAUCUAGCUCCCAAAUGCGUUAGUCUUGUUUUCUAAAAUUGUUAUGAAAUUGCCACUGGUUCAUUUCUCCCAAUGUAUAUCUUCCUUGUUUCUAUUGUGAUAUCUAAGGUAUUUUUAGCUUUGACUUCAUAUGAAGACAAUCGAUGAUGCAGUUACUGUUGCAGAGAUAUGAAAAGGUGGUGUUUUAUUAAAGUUAGGUAGAAUAAAAUAAAAUAGUACUAGGAAAACACAAAUGUAAUUAAAAUCUUAAGGCUUAAAUAGUUAAAAAAUAAUAAAAAAAUAUAAUCCUAGCAUGCAAAACACCAAGGAAAAAAAACAGGUUGUUACAUCAUGGUAACAAGUCCCAGCAGGGUUAACCACAUGCCCAUGUUUGUGUAAUUCUUCUCAAUAUCAUUUUGGUUUCAAAGUGACAUGUUGUGGCACUGCCAGAACGGGACGUUCUGAAGCAAAGGGAGGCAAUUGCUUUUCUAAUUCAUGUGUCAUCCCCAGGAGUUGUGCUCUUUCUGCUGUGACUACGUGAAAAUGUAUUUGCAAAAAAUAAAAAAUAAAAAAACCUAGAUGGAAUCUUACUGGUAACUGGUAUUUCAAAUCACAUUGCUUAUGUAUGAAUCAACAGGACAGUUUAAACGCAGCAGUGGAUGCACCAGUUUUUGCUUUUGCUUCUUGCAUCUCAUUGUUGCUGCUUUUACCAUCCACGUGGUUUUGAGUCUUGGAUUUUACUUUAGUUUCGCCUACAGCUUUGCAUGCAGUGCCCCCAAAUGAUAUUGUGAUGAAAAUACACAUUUUUGAAGGUAUUUCUCCCCUUUAGCUGCUGUUGCUGUUCACUUUGUACACUAAUGUUCUUGCCAGUUUAGAUUUGCUUUGAUUUUUAUGUAGUAUGUUUUAGAUUUGUGUAGUUUUGCAAAGUACAGACUCACACAAUAGUACUGUGCUCAAAUCAUUAUCACCUGAAGAUUUAACAAUUACCAUGAAAAAUCACAAGUAUAGCCUACUGCCAACAAGCUGUGCACUGCUACUUAAGGAGCUCUACUUCAGCAGUGUUAUCCAGGAUAGUGCCUCUUCCUUGCCUUCAAGCUGUCUCUGUAGUUUCACUUUGUCUACUCUUAAGGGGAUGGCAGCACUUUGCUUUGCAUUUGGACAUUAGCUCCCACUCCCCCAAGACUAAACAUUAUUAUUAAGUUUACUGUCUGGAUGAUUCAGUAGUAUCAAAAGACAGAGUGAACUUCAUCAAGUCAGGAAGCAUAGCCUAUGGUUAGCUGGUGAAAUGUAACAAGGACUCUAAAUAGCCUCCAGCAUGUAACUGGCGUGGCCAAUAUUGAACCCAGGUCUCCAGAGGUGGAAGACUAGAAAAACUGGCCCUGGGGACAAAUACCUUUUCCAACUCCCAUCACAUUUCUAAUAGUUACUAGGGCAGAAUAAUGUUUCAUGACCUUUGGGUUGUCCCAUUACCGCAACAUAAUCUAGCUGUGCAAGCUUUCCAAAGGUCACUGUAAAAAUAAAAAUAUUUCCUGCUGUGAUCCAUACCCUCAAACACAAAGAAAAAGAAAUAUCUUAAUAAAUGUAGUGACAUUUGCACUAUAGGGCACAGUACAAAGAUCAUGAACCAUUAUUCUGCACUAGUAAUAAUGUCACGAUUUUAUUCUUGCCCAGUGGUUACUGUAUGACAUUUGUGCUCACAGGGAAAUUCCUGUGAAUAUCAGUAACUUAAAAUAUAUUGCCUCUGGGUCCUGUCGAUCUCCCAUUGGAGUCAAUGGAAGCUUUGCCAUUUGCUUACCAGUAAGAGGGAAUAGGACUGACCCAGCAUUCUCAUGAGCAAAACUGAGAUAGUUUUAAAGGGUUAUUAUUAAUUUUUUUUUUUUACAUUUCCCAUUAAAAAGCAUCUGUUAACUGGCUCCUUGAUAAAACAUGUUUCUUAAGAGAAUAUAACUGGUCAUUCUUGUUUUCCUGAGAAUUGCUGCAACUAUGUUUACAGAGGAGAGAUUAUGUGAUGAGUCUUUUUUGAAAAAAAAAAAAAAAAGAGAAAAAAGAGAAGUCAUAAUGCUUCUUGCUACUUGUGCAAUUAUUUAUGACUUGGGAGACAGAUGUUACC